RNAcentral lists this long non-coding RNA (359 nucleotides) under Phoenix dactylifera (date palm). Its description in RNAcentral is "long non-coding RNA (PDAC_LNC016159)". Lineage: Eukaryota; Viridiplantae; Streptophyta; Magnoliopsida; Arecales; Arecaceae. The record is from RNAcentral.
AGUUGGGCGUGAGGCCCUAAAGCCACUUCCACAUCCACCGCAGCCCUAUCUCCUCUCGCCUCCCUUUUCUUUUGUGAUUCCAUUCCCCUCUCACGCCAAACCUCUAAUCCCUGUUUCUUUGCAGGUCCUUAAAGUACUCCAUGUCAUUGGGUCUAUUAUCCUUCCAAACCAAUAGCAAGGGGGCCCUGUUGCAACGGAAGAUGAAGCUUGGUUAUCCAAUCAUCAACCCUCAAGAGUGAGAUCAAGGAUCCUCCUCCAGAAAAAUUUCAGAAGUUCAAUGUUUGGUAAGCCUCAACUCUAGGUCUGAUUUAUUGAAGAAAGCAUCCUAAUCUAGUGGUUUCUCAACCACAACGGUCCAU